GGGGGUAUAGCUCAGUGGUAGAGUGUGUGUUUAGUACACUCAAGGUCCUGAGUUCAAUCCCUAGUACCUUGU
RNAcentral lists this transfer RNA (72 nucleotides) under Camelus bactrianus (Bactrian camel). It matches the Rfam family "tRNA". Rfam says of the family: Transfer RNA (tRNA) molecules are approximately 80 nucleotides in length. Their secondary structure includes four short double-helical elements and three loops (D, anti-codon, and T loops). RNAcentral also lists the same sequence under 2 other names. Lineage: Eukaryota; Metazoa; Chordata; Mammalia; Artiodactyla; Camelidae. The record is from Rfam by way of RNAcentral.